RNAcentral lists this long non-coding RNA (1033 nucleotides) under Sus scrofa (pig). RNAcentral describes it as "lncRNA (ENSSSCG00055024024.1)". The record is from RNAcentral. Lineage: Eukaryota; Metazoa; Chordata; Mammalia; Artiodactyla; Suidae.
GCGGCACCUCCCCUGUGAGUAAGGGAGGCUGGAUCUCAGGCUUGUUUGAGCACAGCUUUCCGUGCGUUAUCUUGGAGCAAGCGCGCAGGCUUCUUUAGCGCUUUUUUAUGCACUAAAGUUAUUUGCUCCUCAAGACGUUUCGAAGAGAGAAGAGGCAAAAAUCACUAAAGAGAAUGGAAGAAAGGCUUGAUCAUUUUGCAAGGCCCAUACUACAUGGCUGAGAAAUCAACUACUACAGGAGAGAAACUACUACAGGAGAAAAUCGACUACCACAGGAGCAAAACAGUGCAGUUUGACUCCUGCACUGUUCAAGCCUUCCUGAAAAGCAUACUUGGUCUCUAGCUGCGUCACCAUUUUGGCUGCUGGGGUCUGAUGAGCAACCUUGUGGAAGAAGAGACAGAAGCAGAUCCAAAGUGGUGGACGGAACUCUAAACUACAUUGAUUUUACUCUUGUAAUUUGAAUAUGACAAAAAAAGUAAUUCCAUACAGACAAGAGUACAUAAAAAAAUGAUUUAACAACUUUAUUAAAUAUAUUUGAUACACUAAACAAUUCAGUCAUUUAAAGUGUGCAUUUAAUUGGCUUUUAAUAAGUUCAUAGAUUUGUGCGACCAUCAGUGCAACCAAUUUCAGAGCAUUUCUUUUUUUUUUUUCAGGGUCGCAUCCACAGCAUAUGGAGGUUCCCAGGCUAGGGGUCUAAUUGGAGCUGUAGCCGCCAGUCUACGCCAGAGCCACAGCAACACUAGAUCCAAACCGUGUCUGUGACCUAUACCACAGCUCAUUGGCAAUGCUGGAGCCUUAACCCACCGAGCGAGGCCAGGGUCAAACCCACAAUCUCAUGGUUCCUAGUUGGAUAUGUUAUCACUGGGCCAUGACAGGAACUCCUCCCAAUUUCAGAGCAUUUCUAUAAUCCCCAAAAGAAACACUGUUACCCCUUAGAGGCACCCCUCAAAUCUACCAACAACUACCCCUGCCUUAAUUUCUUUCUCUGUAGACUUGCCUGUUCUGGACAUUCAUAUAAAUGGAAUCAUACAUU